AUUGGAAGUGCAAAUAUCAAUUAAGGUGGCUGAUUAAGAAACCUUGCUAGUUAACAUGAUUCAUAAACACAAAAGGAAAAAUCAUUGGUGAUGAUCAGUGGACUAUGACAAGGUCUCAACGCAAAUAAAAUAAAACUCAAAUGAAAGACAUUCAAAUGAGGGUGCAAAUGAAUUCAGUGAGUACGUUUUGUGGAUUUUUUUUUUUUUUUUUUGGCAUGGUUCUGUUCUAAGGUACAUGCUGAGUUUAAGCCUUCUAUUUAUUCUGAAUUGUAGCUUUCUCUGUCUGAGUUGGUAAAUGGUAAUUUUGAGACUACACUAAAGCAUAGUUUUCCUCCUGGAGGAAUACACCGUGGGGGUGGGGUGGGGACAGUGUUUACUUAACUCCCUUGGUUUCUUAUGAUUGACCCUGACACUAUGGGCAGACUCACCUCAUUUUGUGCAUUGGUCUGUAAUCUUCUUUCAAAGGUACAUACAAUAUCAUUCUGGCUCUUUCUGAUUAAAGAAAUCUCUGUACGUUUGUCACUUCAGUAUUCUCAGUGGUAUAUUUAGACUUAAUUUUUCAUGUAAUAUUAAAAAGGUGGGCUGCAAUGCACACAUUUUGACUGUUUAUCAUCAGAGAAUAAUCAGAAAGAUGUUGAUUUAUGGAAAUGUUGCCAUUACUAAUUGCUAUUGAUGGUGUGUAAUGAGAGCUGAAGAGAAUGUUCAAAUGACCUUGUUGGUUCACCUUUUACACAAUUACUUAAUCAUCGGUUACAGUAAAGGAUGUUAUGCAGAGAAAUUGAAAGUGUUUGAUAUUCAUUCAUAUCCUCCAAUUAAUAACACAUUAAAUAAUUAAUCAUGCAAAGAAGGGAAAAGGUCAUGGACAUGUUAUUAUUAUUUUUUAUUUUUUGCAGAAUGUAACUAUGUUUAGUCUAAGGAAACGUCAAAGAAAUACCCAUAUGUAUUCCUGUUUUAUUAACCUGUUUUAUAUACAUGUGAUUGUAGAUGUAGGUUCACAUGCACAUGUGUGUUUGUGCAUGUGGCAGCAAGAGGACAAACUUGGGUUUCUCUUCUAAGGAAUCUUCCAUCUUGGUUUUUGAGACCGAAUCUUAAGAUAGCCUGGAGCUUGAAGAGUUGGCUUAUUUAGCUGACCAAUGUGGAUUCUCUUGUCUCACCCUUUUCAGUUAGGAUUAUAAACUUUCAAGCUUUGGUAUGAGCACUAGAAAGAAAGUUCCCAUACCUGUAUGAUAAGUACAUUAUUAAUUGAAGUAUCUCCUCUAGCCCUGUUCAGUUUUUUAUAAGAUAUUUUCUCCAAUUUUCCUGCUAAUAUUUUUAAAAGAACCUACUAAGCAUUAAUCUGCCAAUAUAUUGGCUAAAAGGACAUAAUUAGACAUACUAGAUUUUCAUGAUCUUCCUGGGGACUUGGCUCAGCUGCUAAAAACACUUGUUCUUUUAGAAACUAGAGUUUCAUGCUCAGCACCCAUAGCUCAUAACUUUUUACCACUCCAGUUCUAGGAUAUCUGAUGCCCUCUUCUGACCUCCAUGGGCACCAGACAUGCGCAUGCUACAUACACAUAUAUGUAUGUACAACACUCAUAUACAUAAAAUAAAUAGUAUUUUAAAAAUUUCAAAUGACCCAUCUUUUCUUUGUUCAUACAAAUAGGUAGGCCUACUUACUUUAUUUAC
RNAcentral lists this long non-coding RNA (1665 nucleotides) under Mus musculus (house mouse). Its description in RNAcentral is "long non-coding RNA chr10:28207320-28208985". Lineage: Eukaryota; Metazoa; Chordata; Mammalia; Rodentia; Muridae. The record is from RNAcentral.